This 105-nucleotide microRNA precursor is filed under the name Canis lupus familiaris (dog). Its description in RNAcentral is "mir-8834 microRNA precursor family". It matches the Rfam family "mir-8834 microRNA precursor family". RNAcentral also lists the same sequence under 1 other name. The record is from Rfam by way of RNAcentral. Lineage: Eukaryota; Metazoa; Chordata; Mammalia; Carnivora; Canidae.
AGGAGCAACAGCCCUAGUGGCGGGGCCAGCUCUGCAGCCCUGGAUUCAGCCCCCGUAGGAACUCCGGGGCUCUCCGUCUGCAGGGCCUGGAGGCUCCGGGGCGGG